Molecule: non-coding RNA, 306 nt
Organism: Arabis alpina (gray rockcress)
Lineage: Eukaryota; Viridiplantae; Streptophyta; Magnoliopsida; Brassicales; Brassicaceae
Source: Rfam
GUCGAGCCUCGUAACGUUGGCUUGUGAUCCAAGUGGAGGCAAUAAAGUGAUGGGACGUUGGGUUGAUCUCCAUUGGGCCGGGUUCAGGUUGCGCUAUUACUUGGCUCGCCCAUUCCAAGUUGGGAGUUGAGGCAAAGGGGCUUGAACGUAGGCUCGGGUCAUUUGUCUUCUAGAGUGGAAGAGAUUGCGUGAGGCUGGUUUCACAGAGCAGCGUCCACCUCCCGCUCUUGACGGUGGAAGGAUAACGAGCCAUGGUCUUCCGAGCCCACUAUGACCUGAAAAGCCAAUUCCAAUUGGACCAUCAUU